This 1343-nucleotide ribosomal RNA is filed under the name uncultured bacterium. RNAcentral describes it as "16S ribosomal RNA". It matches the Rfam family "Bacterial small subunit ribosomal RNA", at positions 28 to 1378 of the family's 1533-position model. The record is from RNAcentral.
GACGAACGCUGGCGGCGUGCCUAACACAUGCAAGUCGAACGGAAAGGCCCUGCUUUUGUGGGGUGCUCGAGUGGCGAACGGGUGAGUAACACGUGAGUAACCUGCCCUUGACUUUGGGAUAACUUCAGGAAACUGGGGCUAAUACCGGAUAGGAGCUCCUGCUGCAUGGUGGGGGUUGGAAAGUUUCGGCGGUUGGGGAUGGACUCGCGGCUUAUCAGCUUGUUGGUGGGGUAGUGGCUUACCAAGGCUUUGACGGGUAGCCGGCCUGAGAGGGUGACCGGCCACAUUGGGACUGAGAUACGGCCCAGACUCCUACGGGAGGCAGCAGUGGGGAAUAUUGCACAAUGGGCGGAAGCCUGAUGCAGCAACGCCGCGUGCGGGAUGACGGCCUUCGGGUUGUAAACCGCUUUCGCCUGUGACGAAGCGUGAGUGACGGUAAUGGGUAAAGAAGCACCGGCUAACUACGUGCCAGCAGCCGCGGUGAUACGUAGGGUGCGAGCGUUGUCCGGAUUUAUUGGGCGUAAAGGGCUCGUAGGUGGUUGAUCGCGUCGGAAGUGUAAUCUUGGGGCUUAACCCUGAGCGUGCUUUCGAUACGGGUUGACUUGAGGAAGGUAGGGGAGAAUGGAAUUCCUGGUGGAGCGGUGGAAUGCGCAGAUAUCAGGAGGAACACCAGUGGCGAAGGCGGUUCUCUGGGCCUUUCCUGACGCUGAGGAGCGAAAGCGUGGGGAGCGAACAGGCUUAGAUACCCUGGUAGUCCACGCUGUAAACGGUGGGUACUAGGUGUGGGGUCCAUUCCACGGGUUCCGUGCCGUAGCUAACGCUUUAAGUACCCCGCCUGGGGAGUACGGCCGCAAGGCUAAAACUCAAAGGAAUUGACGGGGCCCCGCACAAGCGGCGGAGCAUGCGGAUUAAUUCGAUGCAACGCGUAGAACCUUACCUGGGUUUGACAUGGAUCGGGAGUGCUCAGAGAUGGGUGUGCCUCUUUUGGGGUCGGUUCACAGGUGGUGCAUGGCUGUCGUCAGCUCGUGUCGUGAGAUGUUGGGUUAAGUCCCGCAACGAGCGCAACCCUUGUUCACUGUUGCCAGCACGUUAUGGUGGGGACUCAGUGGAGACCGCCGGGGUCAACUCGGAGGAAGGUGGGGAUGACGUCAAGUCAUCAUGCCCCUUAUGUCCAGGGCUUCACGCAUGCUACAAUGGCUGGUACAGAGAGUGGCGAGCCUGUGAGGGUGAGCGAAUCUCGGAAAGCCGGUCUCAGUUCGGAUUGGGGUCUGCAACUCGACCUCAUGAAGUCGGAGUCGCUAGUAAUCGCAGAUCAGCAACGCUGCGGUGAAUACGUUCCCGGG